AUAGCUCAGUGGUAGAGCACGUGCUUAACAGUAUGAGGUCCUGGGUUCAAUCCCCAGU
This 58-nucleotide transfer RNA is filed under the name Camelus bactrianus (Bactrian camel). It matches the Rfam family "tRNA", at positions 7 to 64 of the family's 71-position model. From Rfam's summary of the family: Transfer RNA (tRNA) molecules are approximately 80 nucleotides in length. RNAcentral also lists the same sequence under 2 other names. The record is from Rfam by way of RNAcentral. Lineage: Eukaryota; Metazoa; Chordata; Mammalia; Artiodactyla; Camelidae.